Long non-coding RNA from Lutra lutra (Eurasian river otter), 884 nucleotides. RefSeq lists it as uncharacterized. The record is from RefSeq and is a predicted model, not a curated record. Lineage: Eukaryota; Metazoa; Chordata; Mammalia; Carnivora; Mustelidae. The transcript has 5 exons.
GCUUUCUGUCCCAGAAGCCUCAGCUCCUCUGAAACCACCUUCCCAUUCCAGAACCGAAGCGGCAACCAGCGAAACAGGAGGAGCAGAACCACGCAUGCGGCCCACACGCGUUUCCCAUCUGCCCCCGGGGCUCUACACCCGCCCAGGCGCAGUCUGCACAUGCCGAGCUGUUAGCCCCGGAGAAACGAUUCCUGGUUGUGGGGAAUGUGGGCCGAAGCAUAAAACACCAUGUUUUAAAGGCUCUGUCGGUAAAACCAUACAAAUAUGAGUACGUGCUUACGACAGAUGAAAGAGAGAUAGUCACCAAUAUAAUAACAAUAAUCAUCUCUGAAACAUGGGAUUUCAGGGAAAAAAUAACAUGAGACCCUAUAGUGAAAUGGAACAGCUAUAGAUUUUGAAGCUAGAGGGGACAGAUUGAACAGUGCUUCUGGGAGGACUUGGGAAAUCAAUUAUCUGCUUUAACCUGACUCAUCUCAUUUUGUAAAUUUUUAUGAGGAUUACAUAAGAGUAUGUAAAGAACAUGCCAUGUCAGAACUUGUCAAGUCCUCAGGAUAAGAUGCUGUUUCAAAAUUGAUUAGUUCUCCGACCCGCCCACUGGAAUCAUCCAACCUAUUGAAGAAGCAGAAUGGGAUGUGGAUUAUAGGGUUUCAGAUAACACCAAGUCCCUUGUGAAAGGAAGCUAGUGGAGAAUAUUCAGCAACAUGGGAGAAAGAGGAAGACUUAGAUUUCAGAAAAAAGACUCCAACACAUGAGGACAAUGAAGGGAAAUCCAGGUUUACAGCUAUGCAGCAGCCUAGAAAGCAACUAGUCCAGAUGAAAACAAGAGGAAAGAUGGCUUCAGGAGAUAUAACUCAGGGCAGGAGCUUGAACUGUCCUACUGUUUA